UCUAACAUGUACGCAAGUCAUUGGGACUGCAAACCUAAAGGCGUAAUGAAAGUAAAGAUCGACUCUGAUGUCGAUUGAGGGAGGAUGAUUCGUGUCACGAUACGGAUCCGCACUCCCGGGGCGUCUUGAACUCAUUGCGAGUUGAGGCGCACCCAGAGCGUACACGUUGGGACCCGAAAGAUGGUGAACUAUGCCUGGUCAGGACAAAGUCAGGGGAAACCCUGAUGGAGGUCCGUAGCGAUUCUGACGUGCAAAUCGAUCGUCGGAACUGGGUAUAGGGGCGAAAGACUAAUCGAACCAUCUAGUAGCUGGUUCCCUCCGAAGUUUCCCUCAGGAUAGCUGGCACUCGCUUUUUAAGCGAGUCUCAUCUGGUAAAGCGAAUGAUUAGAGGCCUUGGGGCCGAAACGACCUCAACCUAUUCUCAAACUUUAAAUGGGUGAGAUCUCUGGCUUGCUUAAAUUAUGAAGCCACGAGAUUUACGGAUCAGAGUGCCAAGUGGGCCAAUUU
RNAcentral lists this ribosomal RNA (507 nucleotides) under Camptopteroides sp. NZL D6012 EBCA F. Its description in RNAcentral is "partial large subunit ribosomal RNA". It matches the Rfam family "Eukaryotic large subunit ribosomal RNA", at positions 674 to 1137 of the family's 3401-position model. Lineage: Eukaryota; Metazoa; Arthropoda; Insecta; Hymenoptera; Mymaridae. The record is from RNAcentral.